CAGUCGCCGCGGGAAUACGAAGGGGGCUAGCGUUGUUCGGAUUUACUGGGCGUAAAGCGCACGUAGGCGGACUUUUAAGUCAGGGGUGAAAUCCCGGGGCUCAACCCCGGAACUGCCUUUGAUACUGGGAGUCUUGAGUUCGAGAGAGGUGAGUGGAAUUGCGAGUGUAGUGGUGAAAUUCGUAGAUAUUCGCAGGAACACCAGUGGCGAAGGCGGCUCACUGGCUCGAUACUGACGCUGAGGUGCGAAAGCGUGGGGAGCAAACAGGAUUAGAUACCCGGGUAGUCCCUGUCUCUUAUAC
This 301-nucleotide ribosomal RNA is filed under the name uncultured bacterium. Its description in RNAcentral is "partial 16S ribosomal RNA". It matches the Rfam family "Bacterial small subunit ribosomal RNA", at positions 509 to 807 of the family's 1533-position model. The record is from RNAcentral.